Molecule: ribosomal RNA, 484 nt
Filed under: uncultured bacterium
Lineage: Bacteria
Description: partial 16S ribosomal RNA
Rfam family: Bacterial small subunit ribosomal RNA
Source: RNAcentral
AUUGAACGCUGGCGGCAGGCCUAACACAUGCAAGUCGAGCGGAUGAGGGGAGCUUGCUCCUGGAGUCAGCGGCGGACGGGUGAGUAAUGCCUAGGAAUCUGCUUGGCAGUGGGGGAUAACGUCUGGAAACGGGCGCUAAUACUGCAUACGUCCUGCGGGAGCAAGAGGGGGAUCUUUGGACCUCACGCUAUCAUAUGAGUCUAGGCCGGACUAGUUAGUUGGUGGGGUAAAGGCCUACUUAGGCGAGGAUUCGUAACUGGACUGUGAGGAUGAUCAGUCACACUGGAGCUGAGACGCGGUCCAUACUCCUACGAGACGCAGCAGUGGGGAAUAUUGGACAGUGGGCGAGAGCCUUAUCCAGCCGUGCCGCGUGUGUGAAGAAGGUCUUCGGAUUGUAAAGCACUUUAAGUUGUGGUGAAGGGCAGUAGGUUAAUACCAUGCUUUUUUGACGUUACCAACAGAAUAAGCACCGGCUAACUUCGUG